RNAcentral lists this ribosomal RNA (492 nucleotides) under uncultured bacterium. RNAcentral's name for it is "partial 16S ribosomal RNA". It matches the Rfam family "Bacterial small subunit ribosomal RNA", at positions 29 to 507 of the family's 1533-position model. The record is from RNAcentral.
AGUGAACGCUGGCGGUAGGCCUAACACAUGCAAGUCGAACGGCAGCACAGUAAGAGCUUGCUCUUACGGGUGGCGAGUGGCGGACGGGUGAGGAAUACAUCGGAAUCUACUUUUUCGUGGGGGAUAACGUAGGGAAACUUACGCUAAUACCGCAUACGACCUACGGGUGAAAGCAGGGGAUCUUCGGACCUUGCGCGAUUGAAUGAGCCGAUGUCGGAUUAGCUAGUUGGCGGGGUAAAGGCCCACCAAGGCGACGAUCCGUAGCUGGUCUGAGAGGAUGAUCAGCCACACUGGAACUGAGACACGGUCCAGACUCCUACGGGAGGCAGCAGUGGGGAAUAUUGGACAAUGGGCGCAAGCCUGAUCCAGCCAUACCGCGUGGGUGAAGAAGGCCUUCGGGUUGUGUAGCCCUUUUGUUGGGAAAGAAAAGCAGCAGGUUAAUACCCCGCUGUUCUGACGGUACCCAAAGAAUAAGCACCGGCUAACUUCGUG